AGCUCGUAUCUAUGUGUGUAUGCAUGCAUAUAUAUAUAUAUGUAUGUAUAUGCAUAUAUGUAUAUAUAUAUAUACGUGUA
Non-coding RNA from Podarcis lilfordi (Lilford's wall lizard), 80 nucleotides. The record is from the annotation of a GenBank genome assembly. Lineage: Eukaryota; Metazoa; Chordata; Lepidosauria; Squamata; Lacertidae.